This is a non-coding RNA of Salvelinus sp. IW2-2015, 1580 nucleotides long. Lineage: Eukaryota; Metazoa; Chordata; Actinopteri; Salmoniformes; Salmonidae. The record is from RefSeq and is a predicted model, not a curated record.
GUAUUAGCAUAAAUCAAUCCAGCGCUCGGGUGAACAGCAACAGCAUCGCCACAUGCUCAAGGCAGCAGGCAGUGGCUUGCUCUGAAACCCUCAUUAGACUGACAUCCUCUAUACAUGAUCACCAUGUUCCAUCAUUGGGCUCAUGUACUGUGUGACAAAGGAUUUUUAACAAUGGGAAUACUGGAACUGAAGUGAGGAGGAAACAGACUAGCUACGGAUACUGAUACGAAUUUUGAUAUAAAUAAUUUGUGUUGCCUCCAAGGACCGACUGUCAGACGCUAAAAAUCACUAACUGAAACAAAGAAACCAUCAGAAAUGGUUGCUUGUAUCAGGUCUGUCAAUUAGAAAUCCAGACAAGUAGAACAUACUGUAUUGUACAUGAACAGACAUGCCAGAGGAUAGAAAGCAAGGGGGUGAUUCUAUGAGGAGUCGGGGAACAUUUUAAAUGAAGGUCAUAUCGGAGGAAAGCAGUGCACCUUGGCUGGGAGCCAAACCUUGGUUGCCAUGGUGAGAGCCCCGUCUAUCCAUAUCCUUCCACUCAGGGGGAUGCAUCAGUGGGAAGUGGGAAGUUGUUGGUGCAAUGAGAAGUUGCAGCAAAAGAGAAUAUACAAACUGUCACGGCGCUAGUUGACAGCACAGCCGCGAACAAACAGCAUGAAAGAACACAAAAGGAGAACGCAGCUGAGCUCCGAGAGACAGGAGGGAAAAAUACUCCGGUACAAUCAAGAKACACUUCUUCAUCAUCAAAGUCUUCCUUAAUAACAGAGUAUGCAGGUACAGUAUCUCCCUAAGUGAAGCAAAAGUCACUGACAAAAGGAAUGACAACAAGAGAAACAACAUGGUUUCAACCUGACGAGACAUAAGGYGAUAAUUUAUUAAACAACAGCUGCUGACCUCUUACGUCUUACAUGGCAAAACGUAUGUUAUCAAAUGUCCUAGACUUUAGUAYCAACAUUUGCAUUGAUGUGACGCUGUUCUAACUAAAAUGUGUAUGUAUAAGGGGAACUGACCRUCAUAAGCCAAAUUGUAUCUUAAAAGGCAUCGUUUCAGACUGAGGGGUGCUGUAACUCUGUUAGUGUUGCUGUUCUUCUGUCUGUCUGUGGCAUGGGCUCGGGGUCAGAGACAAAGCUCAACAGGGUCACGGCGCAGGGAGAGAGAGCAGACUGAGCGAAGUUCCGAUGGAGAGCCSAGGGACGACCGACGAACACACAACCACACCUGACAUCUGGAAUGAGAUGAAGGAGCUGAGAGACAUGGUGGUYGAGCAGAGAGAGAAGCUGAGGAACACGGAGGCCAGAGUGGCAGCAAGUGAGGGCCUUACAGAGGAGCAGAGAAUCACCACGAAAGAAGUAGACGAACUGAAGACAGACAAUACGGCCUUGGAGGUCAGACUGACAGCCAGUGAGAGCCAGGUGGAGGGAACUGAAGAACAAGAAUGCAGCCAAGAAGCUGAACUGUCAGGAGCGGAAGCCAAAGAGACUGCCAGUGAGACAGAGUGCAGCCAGCGAGAGAACAGAACAGCGCAAAUCGGCUCUAACCAGAAUAGAAAGAGGAGUGGGAGGCCCCGGUGCACAACUGAG